Cottoperca gobio is the source of this 1684-nucleotide long non-coding RNA. RefSeq lists it as uncharacterized. The transcript has 2 exons. The record is from RefSeq and is a predicted model, not a curated record. NCBI's taxonomy places the organism in Eukaryota, Metazoa, Chordata, Actinopteri, Perciformes, Bovichtidae.
GGCAAGAACACACCCGGAAGUACCUAAAGUGACUCAGAUUGGAUUUCAAUAUUUCCCAGAAAUAAUAACAACAGAUUAAUAUGAUGAUGUCAAAAAAAACAUUUUAAUGCAUCGGAUGGUGCGAAGAUCGUGCGAUCUAUGCGAAUAUUACAAGCAGCUAAUGCUGUAAGUAAUAUCACUUGGUGAAUAAUCAGUACUAGUAUGUCUUUGACAGAGCCCGUCUGAUCCGCUGCAGCCGAGCCUCCCUGUCUGCUUCACCAUGCCGCUGCUGUUGGACGCAGUGUGGGCGCUGUGGAGCAUUGGAGCUGGCAUCUAUGACUACUUCCACACCAGUGCCAUGGAGGCGAGGAUCCACACGCUGGAAAACGUCCUCUCUAUCCACCAGUUUGUGAUUGCAGGCCUGUCUGCAGGCCUCAUUCUGCUCGUUACCUACAUAUUAUGGAGAAAACACUGAAACCUCACUGACUAAGUGAGGCCAAGCUCCCACUCCAUGUUGUUUUGUCGCAGGAUAUCAUGCGUUAUCCAGGGUGGUUUCCAUCCCGCUGCUGUCCAGAGUGACAGUUUGGAUUGUGUGGCUGCUGACGCUUGAAGAUCAUCAACAAUCAGGAAGUCCCAAAUGAGGCCCGGAGCACUGAUGGGAAACUAAACCAAGCCACAAAGCUCCAUAAGGAGUCUGAAAACCUGUCUGGUAACCUUCAGCUUGUGGUCUGCCUAUCAGUCUGUUUGUCUCUGUGUUUUGAAUGUUAAACUAAUACAAGAUCAUAACGGCUUCUCAAGGCAACUUUGCACUUUGACUUUGAAAAACCCUCUGAAAUGAUGCCAUUCAUUUAAAAGGAAUACUUCACACCAAAAGAAAUUUCAUUUGGAUUUCAAUAACUCACCUUGUGCUAUUUGUAGAAAUUAGUGUUUUUUUUACUUCAAUUCAUUAAAACUUUUCUCCGUUUUUUUGGUUCUUCGUUCAUCGUGGAGGCAUGUGAGAAAAACAGUUUUCUUAAAGAAUUCAAAGUAACAGGGUGAGUAGUUGAUUUACACAAAAUUAUCAUUUUGGGGGUGAAGUAUUGCUUUAAACAUCUUCCCAGUGUGUCAAUUGCUACUAUAUUCUUUCAACCCAUUAUCACAAGAUCAACAGUUUCUCAUGUGUUUUUUGUUGUAUAGCUUAUUAAUUUCUCUAACAGCAUUAACCUGAAAUACUGAUUUAAUUAUCUCAUUGUCUUGACAUAACUAAUAUCACAAGUUAUCUUUAUCUUUUAUUAAAUUAUCUUUAUCUUGAGAUAAUGGUGGUCGUAAGAUAUGCGUGUCUGUGUAGAUGAACUCGUAAUCAGCAAAACAACAGUGGCACAUCAUCCUGGUUCCUGGUGAAAGACACAAAAGAACACAGUUAAGAAGGUCAAACACUGGAAAUUAAUCUAUUGUUUAUUUUGCCAUACUGAGGACGAGGGAUUUGUCUAUUUAUUUUGUCGAAUGUGUUUAAUUUCUCCACCUUUUUAGUUUUCACCAACACUGUUUCCAGUCUGUGUCUUGUUUCAUGCUUUUGUGUUUAAAAAAUAAAAAUGGUCUAAUGAUUUAAUCCAGUAUCGUUGACUUUCACGACCUGCCUCCUCCGCCAGUGUACUGUAUGUAACUCUGACAAAACCACUACCUUUUAAAGGGAAUGUUUGAAUAAUAAAUCAUAAUUCAAGUCCAA